UAUUGGACAAUGGGGGAAACCCUGAUCCAGCAAUGCCGCGUGGGUGAUGAAGGCCUUCGGGUUGUAAAGCCCUUUUGGCGGGGACGAUGAUGACGGUACCCGCCGAAUAAGCCCCGGCUAACUUCGUGCCAGCAGCCGCGGUAAUACGAAGGGGGCUAGCGUUGUUCGGAAUUACUGGGCGUAAAGGGCGCGUAGGCGGCUCUGAGAUAGUUGAGUGUGAAAGGCCUGGGCUCAACCCGGGAACUGCACCCAAUACUGCAGGGCUAGAGUGUGGGAGAGGAUAGUGGAAUUCCCAGUGUAGAGGUGAAAUUCGUAGAUAUUGGGAAGAACACCAGUGGCGAAGGCGGCUAUCUGGACCACAACUGACGCUGAGGCGCGAAAGCGUGGGGAGCAAAC
This 396-nucleotide ribosomal RNA is filed under the name uncultured bacterium. RNAcentral describes it as "bacterial SSU rRNA". It matches the Rfam family "Bacterial small subunit ribosomal RNA", at positions 362 to 773 of the family's 1533-position model. The record is from RNAcentral.